CGGCAAAUAUUAACCCUUAAAGAGAGGCAUAAGGUGCUAUUUCAAGAAGCACGAUUUUAUUAAAUCUUGCAGUUUAUCAAAAUAGAACCGGCCCAAUUGGAUGGUCCAACUGGCCAAGAAUGAUAGUGAGGCAGCCCAAAAACUUUAAUAACCUCCACCUUGCUGAACUAAUUCUUGGCCUCUAUUAAAUUGGAGAGUUAUCUCAUGGUUUCAUUUGCUCUCACAACCUGUAAAGAGAAAAAGGAUUAAGUCAGUGCAAUUCUGUAAAUAAUAAUGCUUAGAUUUUCAAAAUAUCACUUCUUCAAGUGAUGUUCAAAAUCUUGAAGCAGUUCUUGAAUUUAUUUAAAGGCAGUAUCUUAGUUCCCAGAUCAGAAGGAUUGAAUUCUGUAGGAAUUUUGACCAACUUGAUCAGACUUUUUUCAACGAGAUUUCGUACAAAAUGAAAUUUUCUAUCUACAUGUUUGGUCCUAUCAUGAUAUACUGAAUUUUUACUAAGGUGAAUUGCACUUUGAUUAUCUGUNUUAUGUAGUCCUCAAAUGUAUGGUCCUUUCCUAAACGAACCAUAUUGUAAAAUCCCAUAGUUCGUUGUUUUUUCUUAGUGAAUUCAAAUCAAGUUCUUGAUAUGUAUAUUAACUUUUGCCUCAUAUAUGGUGCUGUGUAUAGACGAUGAUGUAAUGUUUUCGUUUAAGCCUUUGUUAACCAUUCUAUUAUAUUAUUUUUUUCUACAGUACUCAUUUUCAACAACACGUUCUUCAUUAAAAUAAUAUUACACAUAAAUAAAUAAAUAAUUCUUCUUUAUUAACCACACAUUUCAACAUCAAUUACUAUUCCAUAAUACACUUUUUGAAAUUAAAAGGGCACAAACAGGCCCUAAAAUGUUAAGACUCGAAACACACUUAUUUAUUUAAAUUAUGUUAUCAAGACGUUACCUCACAUGUAAGCUAGAAUUAUGUUAUCCAAUAGCCGUGUUGCCUUCCUCUGUUGUACGGACACUUCAACUAGGAUAGUGUGCUGUAUAAAACAUUUCUCAGAUAUCAACUCUGUUCGAAACUAUACCAUGAUCAUUUUUUUACUAGAAAUAUUUUAUAUUUUUAACUGAACUUAUUAGUAAAUAACAAAUAUGCACUCAUUCAGAAGAUUUCAACAAGAAAAAUUAAUAAAUAUAAAACAAAAUAUAUUAUAUAAAUAAAGAAUUUAAUCAAGGUGUCGACGACGUGUCGUAUCAGUACUUUUUUGAACAAUCGUGUGUUACCAUAUCUGAUAAAUGUCAUAUCGGACACACAUGUCAAUCCAUCAUAGUUGCCUUCACAUAAAAUCCCUUUUGGUUUUAAUUCACUUGCCAUGUGCUUAAAAUUGGAAUGGGGAGUGAAGAAGAAACACAAAAGUUUCAUUGUGGUUUAAUCCUUGUUGUCGACGAAGAAGGAUAAUAGACAAGUACUUCAUAUGCACGUCUCUCUUCUUUAAUCUUAUCUAAUAUAUUUAACGAUGUGAUAACUAGUAUACUAAAUUAGAUUGUAUUAAAUUGACAAAUCCCAAAAGAUUGUCCCAAUUCAAGAAAAUGGUGACUUGCGAGGUUGAAUUAGGUUCAUAGGCUUAUCUUAUAGUUUGGCUUUUACUUAAAAAGUGGGGGCACUUUUGUCAUUAAUGCACCAUGCCAAACACAAAAAGAGUAGGGGUUUACAUGACUAUUAUUAUGUUAGUGAAAAAAAAUCAAAUGUCAUAAUUAAGGACAUACUUGGACAAAACAACAUGAUGCAUAAGUUCUUUUUUUAAGUAAACAAUUUUUGUAUUAGUCAAAGUUGAAAAUUUAAAUAAGUUUUUACGUAAAAAGUAGGUUAUCUAAAGAUACCUGAAAUAAAUAAUUAUUUAAAGGUAAUUAUCAAUUUUGAAUUAGACUACACGAUAAAUUGAAUAUAAUCAAUAUUAUAAACUUAUCGUUACUUUUAUGUCCUGGACAAUCCGCAUGUGAUAAUGGUCAAAACAAGAGUCGUGAUUUAGCGUAUUCGUUAACAUUUUGGAGCUUUUGUAUAACUUUAAUCCAGAUAAAUUUGUAAAUCGUGUUGUACCUAAAAACAGUAGUAACAACUUAAAAGAUAAUGAAUCAAAGAUUCAAAAUCCAAUUGAUUGUAACAAAUUGCUUUUGAAAGCGCGUCUAGUUUUGACAAUUACUAGUGGAUGUUGGGUGAGUUUCAAUUUUAACUAUUUAUGUUGACAGCCUAACUUGGCACUUAGGCGCCACCGUAUUUGAUUGCAAUAAAUCACUUGAUCACGUGCAUGUGUAUAUAUAAUUGAUUCAUAAAUGUUUGUAAAUCAUGAAUCUGAUUUGCAUGUGAUGGAGUAGGUUAAAGACCACAAAACAUAAAUUUAUAUAGUCUAUAUGUCUGCAACACGCAUUCUCAUACAUAAAGCUAGUCUAUUUUAAUUAAAUAGUCAAGACUCGUUUGGCAUAUCUUUUGAAAAGUCAAAAUGAGCUUUUGAGAUUCAGAAAUUAUUUUUUGACCCGUUUGAUUAAUUUUAUGGAAGUACUUCUUUUAAUUCGAAGACUUUUAGAGCAAAAUAGGCAAAUGCGACUUCAUCUAAAAGUACUUUUGAGAUAAAACUCUCUUUUAAAAAUUAGUUUUCAAACACAAAUAAAGUUGACUUCCUCUAAAAACUCUCUGUCAGAAAGUAAAAAGCAAAGUCAUGUCAAAUGAGCCUUAAUAUAUGCACAGUUUUCAUUGGUAGCGACGAGAUUUGAGACCCAAAUAUUAUGUUUUGAUGAUUUUUAACAACUUAAACUUUUAAAUAAAACAGUUUAACCCUUUCAAACGAAUAGAAAAGAACUUUUAGACGCCUACAUAACACGAAAGACAACACAAAUUUGUCUUUGAAAAGUAAUAAUCGUUGAUUCACUUAGUAAGCACGUUUGUCUUAACUAUUGAAACUUUAAUGUGAAUUUGUCUUUUAACCAUUGAAACUUUAAUGUGAAGAUGCCCUAGCGUGACAAGGGUCCAUAUUUUCGGCCUCAUUUUGGGGCCUAAUAUAACCCUUUUUCUACCUAUAAAAAAAUAAAAUAAAAAAUAAAUAAAAAUACACUCGAGUAUCAGCAGGAAUCUUGCAAAAGGACAUCUAUACUUUUGAACAAUAGCCGUAAUCAUGGAUCCUAAGUUCCCCAAUUUUAGGUGUCAUAAUAUAUCUACAAUAAAUUUUGAUUGUCAUGAUCAAAUAAAGACAAAUCACAAAUCAAAGUUCAAACUUCAUCUAGAUAAAUCUGCAAGUAGUACAACAUGUACACAUAUUUUGUUAAGUUAAAAUGUAAACAUAGUAACAUUGCAAAUAACUAAUACAGAUAAAAAGUCAAUUAAAAUUAAUAUUUUGAUCUUUAUUUUAUUAUUACAGUCGUCAUUUUUGAAUUCUUCUCUCACAGAUAAGACCCACUUUAUCUUCAACGAUAAAAAAAUCAAUUAAUAAAAUCUCUACUAAACAAGCACUAAACUUCUUGUACAUAUUUUUUUUCACAUUUGUUAACAGAUGUGGUGGUGAAAUGCAUUUGGUCCUUGAUUUGAAUAAGUAAAAUUCAAUUCAAGAGCCAAAAUGCAUGCCAAUUCAGGAUCUAUCAAAACAAUAUGUGAAAAAAAUAUACAAGUAGCAUGAUUUUGUUAAGAUUUGGUGUCCAUCUUAAAAAGGUCAACAUUGUUAAGAGGAGUUUGUGAGAUUUUUAUCCCUUAAAAUGCCCUCGUAAGAUGGUAGUUCGUUUGAGCAGAUCAAUCUUACAAUCCGUUGCUCAUUAAUUGAGACUUAUAAUCAGAUCGAAUGGCUUGUUGGAGUUUAAUGGGAUCCGAUACCAUGUUAAAACUUGGGGUCCAUCUUAAUAAGGUCAACAUUUUUAAGUGGAGAGACCCAAUAUCUUUAUAAAUUGGUAUUUAUUUCGGUAUUAAAUCGAUGUGGGAUAACACAUCCCUUAACAGGUCUCCUCAAGAUAGUGGCUCAUUUGAGCAGACCAAUCUUGAAAUUCAUGGGGUGGCUCUGAUGCUAUGUUAGCACUUGGGGUCCAUCUUAAUAAAGUUAACUUUGUUAAGUGAAGAAGUCUAUGAUCUUUUUAAGUUGAUCAAUAUUUAAAUAUUAAAUCGAUGUAAAAUUUUUAUCCCUUAACAGAUUCUUGCAAAUACGUCAUAAAAAUUGUGAUGGUUGGAGGAUUAUUGUGAGAGUUUUUUAUCAUAUGAAUAGAAAUAGAGGAAAAAGUGACUCGCGGUCGAGAAAGAAAGAGAUUUUUAUAUAGUUAAACGUACCAAGCACAAGCAAUUGGACAAAAAUUCAAGGUUAUGCUUCGCAUUACUUUUAUAGCUCAUUGUAUAUGCCAGUAACUAGAAGUUGAUUAUUAGUUAAUGAAAGUUAAAAUUUUACAGCCAUACAGAUUGAAAAAAGUGUUGUAUUUGUGAUAAAGCAAUACACGUGAAAUGUCUUUUUUAAAUUUACACUCUUACACAGUCACGCGGCUCUCCCAAUUCCAUAGGCAAAAAGACCUACCUUAACCCAAAUCUUUCCCCAGAUUUCCCCCAAAUCUCCGCAUGUUUUUCCGAUUUCCAAUCACACUUUCCAAUUUCCAACAGAAGCACAAGUGUUAUUUAAGAAUCGUUUGAAUAAUGGUUGAUUUGUAAAAACAGAUUUAUAAAGUUUGCAAAAAUUAAAAGAACACGAGACAAAGCGAUAUGUUUUUGCCCUAGAAUAGGGCCCGGAUGUUCAAUCGUUAGACUUAGUCACCCGUUGAACAUCUAUCACGAGAUUGUGCUCAAGAUCCACUAAUAUCAACCAAGAAUUAGUACAAAUGUUCGAUUUCUUCGAUAUUUCUCUAGCCUCUCUAUUUAUAAGAUUCAUAACCUACACACGUUACAAUUUCAAAUAUUGCACUAAGCACUCACUGAUUCACAAAGAAAAAGAGAUUGCACUUCACAAAGAAUGAUUACAGAACUUUUCAAGUAAAAACUCUAGCACUUAGAAGACGAAGACGGAAGACCCCAGAAGUCUCACUCACACUGAGUCAAAGAAAAGGCGUGACCAAGUAUAUAAAUGUCCAGUCCAAAGGUCAUGAUUCAAGGGUCAAGAUGUUGCCACGUUGACGGCAAAUAUUAACCCUUAAAGGGAGGCAUAAGGUGCUAUUUCAAGAAGCACGAUUUUACUAAAUCUUGCAGUUUAUCAAAAUAGAACCGGCCCAAUUGGACAGGUCCAACUGGCCAAGAAUGAAAGUGAGGCAACCCAAAAACUUUAAUAACCUCCACGUUACUGAACUAAUUCUUGGCCUCUAUUAAAUUGGAGAGUUAUCUCAUGGUUUCAUUUGCUCUCACAACCUGUAAAAAGAAAAAGGAUUGAGUUAGUGCAAUUUUGCAAAUAAUAAUGCUUAGAUUUUCAAAAUAUCACUUCUUCAAGUGAUGUUCAAAAUCUUCAAGUAGUUCUUGAAUUUAUUUAGAGGCAGUACCUUAGUUCCCAGAUCAGAAGGAUUGAAUUGUGUAGGAAUUUUGACCAACUUGAUCAGACCUUUUUCAACGAGAUUUCGUACAAAAUGAAAUUUUAUAUCUACAUGUUUGGUCCUAUCAUGAUAUACUGAAUUUUUACUAAGGUGAAUUGCACUUUGAUUAUCUGUGUAAAUAACAACAGAAUCAUUUUGAAAACCAAUUUCAUUCAACAGACCUUUUAACCAGACACUUUCUUUUACUGCAUCACAGGCAACAAUAUAUUUAGCUUCAGUUGAAGACAAUGCAACUAAUUUUUGAAGCUGAGACUUCCAGCUGAUGCAACCAUCACACAAAGUAAAGAUGUAAGCAGAAGUAUACCUUCUUUUAUCUAAGUCACCAGCAAUGUCAGAAUCUAUGUACCCCUUUAAUAUUAUCCCCUCAUUACUUCUUUUGAACAUUAAACCUAAAUCACAUGAAACUUUUAAGUAUUUCAACAUCCAUUUCAUAGCAAGUCAAUGAGUUUCACCAGGAUUGGCCAUACAUCUACUCAAGUUACUAAUACUAUGGGCUAAAUCAGGUGCAGACCAUAAGAUACAUAAUGGAACCUACUGCAUUAGCAUAUGGCACCUUUUCUAUUCUUUUAAAUUCAUCAUCAGUUUUAGGUGAUUGCUCACUGGACAAUUUAAAACGAUUUGCAAUAGGAAGUGAAACAGGUUUACAUUCAAGCAUAGACAAUUUUUCAAGAACCUUUUUCACAUAGUAACCUUGUUUUAACAUUAAUAUGCAAUUAUUUCUAUCCCUUUCUAUCUUCAUUCCUAAAAUUCUCCUAGUUUGUCCUAAAUCUUUCAUUUCAAAUUCAGAUUUUAACUUUGCUUUAACAGAGUCAAUUUCAGUUCUAUCAUGACAAAUAAGUAACAUAUCAUCUACAUAUAAUAGCAGAUAAAUGGAUUCAGACCCACCUAAACCUUAUAGAAGAGACAGGAAUCAUAAUUGCUUUUCAUAAAACGUAAAUUCCGUACAAAAGAAUUAAAUUUCAAAUACCAUUGCCCGAGGGCCUGUUUAAGCCCAUAUAGAGACUUUUUCAACAAACAAACCUUAUUUGUUUCAAAUUUGACCUCAAACCCCAAGGGUUGAUUCAUAUAUAUUAUUUCACCAAGGUCACCAUUUAGAAAAUCUAUUUUAACAUCAAGUUGAUCUAACUCCCAGUUAAAAUGAGGAGUCAAAGCCAGCAGAAUUCUGAUUGAGGUGUACUUAGCGAUUGGUGAAAAAAUUUCAUCAUAGUCUACUAUUUCCUUUUGUGUAAAGCCUUUGGCUACCAACCUGGCUUUAUACCUCUUAUCUUUUAGAUUUGAGUCUCCUUGUUUUAUUUUAAAGAUCCACUUACAGUCAACUACUCUUUGAUUCUUAGGUCUAUCAACCAAAGUCCAGGUUCUAUUUUUAAUAAGGGAAUCCAUUUCCUCUUUCAUAGCUUGUUUCCAAAGUUUUGAAUCAGGACCUUUAAUUGCUUCUUCAAAGGUAGUAGGUUCAGAAUUUAAGGAGUCCAAAGCAGAAAAUAGAGUAACAAAUUAUUCAUUAUUAAACCUGGUAAAAGUUAUAAUAUACAUUCUUUCUCUGUCUUUAGUAAGUUGAUAAUCAGCAAUAAUAGGAUCUGUUGAUUCAAUUUCAUUUUCAAGGUCAGAAGGUUCUUGGUAUGUUUUAGAUUGUGCAGACUCCACCUCAAUAAAAUCAUCUUGAUUUUCAGUUUGUGUUUCCAGGAUGGUUUCUUUAGCAGAUACAGAUUCAGAAGCAUUUGUGUCCACAGAUUUAUAACAAGGCAUUUCAUUUUAAUUAAAAAUGACAUCUCUACUGACUAUAACCUUACAACCAUCUAGGCUUUUGAUCCAAAGUCCACUGGCGGACCCACAGUUGGUCCUGGUGGAUCACUUGACCCACCAACUUAAAAUUGAUUUUUUUUUUAUGUAAUUAGAUUUGCAGCAGAAGAACUCCAGCCUGGAAAAUCUAAAAACUUUGAAUGAAUUAUUAAUUUUUUAAAGAAUGUGAAAGAUGAAUUAUAUACCUCUUUUUUUGGGAAAUUAUUUCUUUUGUAUGAUUUCUUUUGUAUUUUCUUAUAAAAUGGACUUAGGGAUCCAUUUAAGUGCUCCAAUUUUUAUUUUGUUCUGGUGAUUUUAUGUUAAUGGAUUCUUACCGUGAUUUUUGUAUUUGUUUGAACUAGAAUGCAUUUGAUAAUUUAACAUUCAGAAUUGCUGAAAUUUUUGUAUUUUUCGCUUGAAUUAAUUGUGAUGGAAAAAUAAUUUAAAUGUAAAUAUGCAUUUUUUUUUUAUAAUCACAAUGUUAAUGAAAUGAAUAUUCGAGAUAAAAGUGAUGACAAACAUAGUGGUAUUUAUAUAAACGUAAAUCUAUAUUUUUGCAAGUUUAAUUGUGCCCCACUAACUCAAAAUGUCUGCGUCCGCUACUAUCAAAGUCUAUACCCUUUGGUUUCCUCUCCAUAUCCCAAGAAAACACAUUUUUGAAAUCGAGGUUCAAGCUUGCCUUCACUCUGAUGAGAAAAGACAGCACAUCCAAACACUUUCAAUUAAUUGUAAUCAGGUGUUUUUCCAGAUCAUGGUGUUUCAGGAACCUAAAAGUCAAUAGCAAUAGAUGGACUUCUAUUUAUCAAAUAAGUUGCAGUUUUUAGGACUUCAUCCCAAAAGGACUUUAGGAGACCAGAACUGUAUAUCAUACAUCUAACUUUUUCUAACAAAGUCAUAUUCAUCCUCUCAGCAACAUCAUUUUGCUGAGAAGUGUAUGUUACAAUUCUGUGUCUCAAUAUUCCAAAUUCUUUACAAAAAAGGUUAAAUUCAGAAUUGCAAAAUUCAAGUCCAUUAACAGUCCUUAGUGCUUUGAUUUUCCUUUUGGUUGGAUUUUCAAUUAUGUUUUUCCACUAUUUAAAAGUAUGAAAGGUGUCUGACUUUUGUUUUAAGAGAAAUGUUCAAAAUUUCCUUGAAAAAUCAUCUACAAUAAGCAGAUGGAACCUAAACCCACUUAAGGUACUCACAGAUGCUAUACCCCCACAGGUCAGCAUGUAAGUAAUCUAGGAUAUGAGUGGAUUUAUGGGUUCCAGUUUUGAAAGGUAGUUUUUUCUGUUUUCCAAUCAAACAAUUUUUACAAAAGUCUAAACUUUCAAUGUUGUCAUUUCCAAAACACCCAAGUUUGUUUCGAAUUAUAAGACCCUUUUUUUGAGCUAUGGCCAAGUCUUUUAUGUCAUAUCAAAACCUUGUUUGGAUCAGAAUUUAAAGCAGCAGUACAAUGGAUUUUCACAGGUUCAGCAGAGACAGUAUAUAUGCCCUUUUUCUUAUGAGAAGAUAUAACAUUCUUGCUUCCUUGAUUUAUUGUAAUAAGUCCCUUAUGAAUCAUUAUGUUAUAUUUUUCAUCUAGUUCUCCCAAGGAGAUAAGGUUCCUCUUAAGUUCAGGGACAUAUCUAGUAUUUUCCAACUCAAGAAUAUAGUUGUUCUCUAAUAACAACCUCACUUUACCAAUUCCAUGUAUUUGACAACACGUGUCAUUACCCAUCUGAAUUUACCCUCCACUAAGGUCAACAAAUUCAGAAAAGCAUUCCUUAACAGGACACAUGUGGAAAGUGCAUUCAGAAUCAAGGACCCAAUCUUUAGGGUUUCUACUGGUUGCACUGACAAGAACAACACCUUAGCUGCAGAGCCAACAAUGUUGUUUCUGUCCUUCAUAUCAGAAAUUUUCUUAAAAUAAUAUUUUAUUAGGUGUCCAGUUUUUCCACAAUAAUAGCAUUUCCUGUUUUAGUUUUUGGAUUUGGCAAAGUUCUUGUUUUUAUUUUUGGGUUUGUUGUAUUGAGACUUUCCUUUCUUGUAGGAAUUGAAAUUGCACUAAUUUUGUUUCUUCUUUUGAAUUUGUUUCUCUUUUAUAUGCAACCCCUCUCCAAACUUGAAAUCUUUUGACUCUGUUUUUAAUUUAAGUUCUUUGUUUUUGAGGGCUGAAGUUAUUAUGUCUAUGGUAAGAUCCUGCCCCCCAUAUUCUAGAGCAUUUUUGAUAUCUCUAUACCUUUCACUUAGAUAAUUUAAUAAAGCAACAACUUGUUGGUCAUUAGAUAACUUUUCAUUACAAUUCUCCAAGUCUUGAAUCAAUUUAGUAAAUUUGUCGAGAUUUUCUUCCAGGCCAAAAGUAGGAUCAAAUCUAAAGUUAUAAAACUGCCUUAAGAGGUAGCAUUUAUAAGGCAUGGAUUUAUUUAGAUACAGUGUUCCUAACUUAGUCCAUAAAGCCUCAGCAAAGAUAGUUUCUCCUGCUUUCCUAAUCACACUAUCAGAGAGAUGAAGGAAAAUGGUACUCCAAGCAGUAUCAUCCAAUUCUUGUCUCCUAUAAGUACUAGUCUCUACAGCCCAAGUUCCAUCAAGGGCUACAGCACAUCUCUGCUUACUAGUAGGGUCCUCAUCUUUUGGCGCUAGAGAUUAAAAUCACCAAUGCCAUUCCAUAUCUCAAUUUCAAAUUUAUGUGUAGUAGUAGACAUGAUGACCAACACAAAGCAACAGAUUAUGAUUGAAUAGGACAACAAGUACAAUUGAUUCAAGAAAAAUAUUAAAGGUAACAGGCAUGUAAUUAUAAAAAAUGCAAUAGAAAAUUACUUUUGCAGAUACUUAACAUACAAUUCACAAGAGUAUUAAUGUCAAUUAUGAAAAGGUUUAAGGGGUGGUAACCCUUCUGUUCAACUGCUUCCUCAGAUUCCUAGACCUUCAACGAGAUCUUGGACAAAGGAAAGCAGAGGAGGGUAACUUACCUUAACAACCAAUUCCAAAACUUAACAAGAACAGUAGCAAUUUAAAGAAAUGGGUUGCAGAGAUAUACCAGAGUCUGAAAUUUUAAGGAUUUCAGAAAUAACUGCAGGGCAAAACCAAGGUUUGAGCAAACAAUUACAGUGCAGGUGUAAUUGCCAAUUAAUCAACAGUAACUCAGUAUGAACUCGAUAGGAAUCGGGAUGAGUCAACAUAGCUCGCCAAACUCAGUACGAGUACUAGUACUCGAUAAGACUCAGUAACGAGUCAACUCAGAAAUCAUUUGAACUCAGCAGAAAAAAAGGACCAGAGGUGAGUUUAAACGAGUUGUAAGAAUUAUCUCAACAAUCAUUAAAGAUUUCAAAAAAUGCAACAAAUUUAGAUACUAGAUAAAAAAAAAAUUACGUUCAAAGAUCCAACCAAAUAUGGAUCUGAGGCAAGACACAAGGUACCCCCUUUUCAAAGAACAAUCGUCCGUCUCCUCUUUCACAGAUCUAAAAGUUUUGAAUAAAAGAAACUUAAGGUUUUGAAAAGAAAAAAAAAAUUCGAACAAACAGAUCCAAAAUUUUUAGAAAAGUGGCUCUAAUACCACUUGUUAUUUAAGAAUCGUUUGAAUAAUGGUUGAUUUGUAAAAACAGAUUUAUAAAGUUUGCAAAAAUUAAAAGAACACGAGACAAAGCAAUAUGUUUUUGCCCUAGAAUAGGGCCCGGAUGUUCAAUCGUUAGAUUUAGUCAUCCGUUGAGCAUCUACCACGAGAUUGUAUUCAAGAUCCACUAAUAUCAACCAAGAAUUAGUACAAAUGUUCGAAGAAAUUGAAGAUUCCUUCGGUAUUUCUCCAGCCUCUCUAUUUACAAGAUCUGUAACCUACACAUGUUACAAUCUCAAAGAUUGCACUAAGCACUCACUGAUUCACAAAGAAAAAGAGAUUGCACUUCACAAAGAAUGAUUACAGAACUUUUCAAGUAAAAACCCUAGCACUCAGAAGACGAAGACGGAAGACCCCAGAAGUCUCACUCACACUGGGUCAAAGAAAAAGCAUGACCAAGUAUAUAAAUGUCCAACCCAAAGGUCAUGAUCCAAGGGUCAAAGAUGUUGCCACGUCGACAACAGAUAUUAACCCUUAAAGAAAGGCAUAAGGUGCUAUUUCAAGAAGCACGAUUUUACUAAAUCUUGCAGUUCAUCAAAAACAGAACCGGCCCAACUGGCCAAGAAUAAUAGUGAGACAGCCCAAAAACUUUAACAAGAAGUUGUCGUGUAAUGGGACGAUUCUUCAAGUCUCAUAGAAAAAUUGUUUUUCGCCCAUGUUGCAGUUGUCUCACUUCAUUCGACUGCCAAGUCUUUCUCCAUUACAAGUCUAAACAUGAUCCGUGCAUAUUUUUCACCGUGAAGCACGCUAGCGUGAAAGGCUGAAUGUUUCCCUAUUCUAUGAUUGGUGCCAAGAUGCUCGCCAAUUCGUAAUGUGCAUCCAAUCAUUGAGGUUCCCAACUCUGCUCAUUCUGAGUUAGCCACCUUGCCCUAUGUUCAUACGGUACCCCAUCAAAGCAUGCAUAUUCAAUUAAAAGUUGAUCUCCUUGGCUCCAUUCGGAGCAUUGAAGGCUAGUAGCUUUUCGCAUUUUCCCCCACAAUACAAUACUCGUACUCGUCAAACUUUCUACUAGCAUUAUAGCCCAUUUUGCGCCAUAAUGCCCUUUGUCAGGUUCUGACCACAAUUGAUUGGCUUCCACGUUCCAUUAAGAAAACCUCAAGGACCCACAAAUUCCUCCUUAAAUUUACUAGUCACUAGAGAUAAAACACAGGAAACGGCUCAAAAAUAAAGCCCAUCAACGAUUUGAACUAGGUUUGGCGGGUUGCGCCAGGCCCGUGCUGUAGUGCAACGCAUGGGCGACGCUCGAAGGCCCAGGCAGCAAGCUACCUUGGCGGACCUUCACCCUAAAAAAAUUAAUUUAAUAUCGUGUGGGCUAAUAGCCCACAUAUCAGAUAUUAAACUGAUAAGAACAGAUACUACACUUGAUCUUAGCCAAAAGGCCG
This 12232-nucleotide long non-coding RNA is filed under the name Olea europaea subsp. europaea. Lineage: Eukaryota; Viridiplantae; Streptophyta; Magnoliopsida; Lamiales; Oleaceae. The record is from RNAcentral.